CCUACGGGAGGCAGCAGUGGGGAAUAUUGCACAAUGGGGGAAACCCUGAUGCAGCGACGCCGCGUGAGUGAAGAAGUAAUUCGGUAUGUAAAGCUCUAUCAGCAGGGAAGAAACUGACGGUACCUGAGUAAGAAGCCCCGGCUAACUACGUGCAAGCAGCCGCGGUAAUACGUAGGGGGCAAGCGUUAUCCCGAUUUACUGGGUGUAAAGGGAGCGUAGACGGCAGUGCAAGUCUGGAGUGAAAGGCGGGGGCUCAACCCCCGGACUGCUCUGGAAACUGUACGGCUGGAGUGCAGGAGAGGUAAGUGGAAUUCCUAGUGUAGCGGUGAAAUGCGUAGAUAUUAGGAGGAACACCAGUGGCGAAGGCGGCUUACUGGACUGUAACUGACGUUGAGGCUCGAAAGCGUGGGGAGCAAACAGGAUUAGAUACCCCUGUAGUC
Molecule: ribosomal RNA, 440 nt
Filed under: uncultured bacterium
Lineage: Bacteria
Description: partial 16S ribosomal RNA
Rfam family: Bacterial small subunit ribosomal RNA
Source: RNAcentral